RNAcentral lists this microRNA (22 nucleotides) under Gallus gallus (chicken). RNAcentral describes it as "gga-miR-6641-5p". Lineage: Eukaryota; Metazoa; Chordata; Aves; Galliformes; Phasianidae. The record is from miRBase by way of RNAcentral.
ACAGCUUUUUUAUUUCCAGUUA